AGAGUUUGAUCCUGGCUCAGGACGAACGCUGGCGGCGUGCUUAACACAUGCAAGUCGAACGGAAAGGCCCUUCGGGGUACUCGAGUGGCGAACGGGUGAGUAACACGUGGGUGAUCUGCCCCGCACUCUGGGAUAAGCCUGGGAAACUGGGUCUAAUACCGGAUAGGACCGCAUGCUUCAUGGUGUGUGGUGCAAAGCUUUUGCGGUGUGGGAUGAGCCCGCGGCCUAUCAGCUUGUUGGUGGGGUAAUGGCCUACCAAGGCGACGACGGGUAGCCGGCCUGAGAGGGUGACCGGCCACACUGGGACUGAGAUACGGCCCAGACUCCUACGGGAGGCAGCAGUGGGGAAUAUUGCACAAUGGGCGCAAGCCUGAUGCAGCGACGCCGCGUGAGGGAUGACGGCCUUCGGGUUGUAAACCUCUUUCAGUAGGGACGAAGCGAAAGUGACGGUACCUACAGAAGAAGGACCGGCCAACUACGUGCCAGCAGCCGCGGUAAUACGUAGGGUCCGAGCGUUGUCCGGAAUUACUGGGCGUAAAGAGCUCGUAGGUGGUUUGUCGCGUUGUUCGUGAAAACUCACAGCUUAACUGUGGGCGUGCGGGCGAUACGGGCAGACUGGAGUACUGUAGGGGAGACUGGAAUUCCUGGUGUAGCGGUGGAAUGCGCAGAUAUCAGGAGGAACACCGGUGGCGAAGGCGGGUCUCUGGGCAGUAACUGACGCUGAGGAGCGAAAGCGUGGGUAGCGAACAGGAUUAGAUACCCCGGUAGUCCAA
RNAcentral lists this ribosomal RNA (773 nucleotides) under uncultured bacterium. Its description in RNAcentral is "bacterial SSU rRNA". It matches the Rfam family "Bacterial small subunit ribosomal RNA", at positions 8 to 798 of the family's 1533-position model. The record is from RNAcentral.